Molecule: ribosomal RNA, 501 nt
Filed under: uncultured bacterium
Lineage: Bacteria
Description: bacterial SSU rRNA
Rfam family: Bacterial small subunit ribosomal RNA
Source: RNAcentral
AUUGAACGCUGGCGGCAUGCGUAACACAUGCAAGUCGAACGGUGUUUGGUGCUUGCACCAGACAUAGUGGCGGACGGGUGAGUAAUGCGUAGGAAUCUGUCUUAGAGAGGGGGACAACCCGAGGAAACUUGGGCUAAAACCGCAUAUUCUCGAGAGAGGAAAGCAGGGGACCGGAAACGGCCUUGUGUUCUAAGGUGAGCCUACGUCGGAUUAGCUAGUUGGUAGGGUAAAAGCCUACCAAGGCGAUGAUCUGUAGCUGGUCUGAGAGGACGGACAGCCACACUGGGACUGAGACACGGCCCAGACUCCUACGGGAGGCAGCAGUGGGGAAUAUUGGACAAUGGGGGAACCCUGAUCCAGCGAUGCCGCGUGUGUGAAGAAGGCCUGCGGGUUGUAAAGCACUUUUCAGUGGGAAAGAGAAGCGUCUUGUGAAUAAUGGGACGUGGAGACGUUACUCACAGAAGAAGCACCGGCUAACUCUGUGCCAGCAGCCGCGGUAAU